RNAcentral lists this ribosomal RNA (820 nucleotides) under Shigella boydii. RNAcentral describes it as "partial 23S ribosomal RNA". It matches the Rfam family "Bacterial large subunit ribosomal RNA", at positions 1920 to 2739 of the family's 2925-position model. Lineage: Bacteria; Pseudomonadati; Pseudomonadota; Gammaproteobacteria; Enterobacterales; Enterobacteriaceae. The record is from RNAcentral.
CCGGUAAACGGCGGCCGUAACUAUAACGGUCCUAAGGUAGCGAAAUUCCUUGUCGGGUAAGUUCCGACCUGCACGAAUGGCGUAAUGAUGGCCAGGCUGUCUCCACCCGAGACUCAGUGAAAUUGAACUCGCUGUGAAGAUGCAGUGUACCCGCGGCAAGACGGAAAGACCCCGUGAACCUUUACUAUAGCUUGACACUGAACAUUGAGCCUUGAUGUGUAGGAUAGGUGGGAGGCUUUGAAGUGUGGACGCCAGUCUGCAUGGAGCCGACCUUGAAAUACCACCCUUUAAUGUUUGAUGUUCUAACGUUGACCCGUAAUCCGGGUUGCGGACAGUGUCUGGUGGGUAGUUUGACUGGGGCGGUCUCCUCCUAAAGAGUAACGGAGGAGCACGAAGGUUGGCUAAUCCUGGUCGGACAUCAGGAGGUUAGUGCAAUGGCAUAAGCCAGCUUGACUGCGAGCGUGACGGCGCGAGCAGGUGCGAAAGCAGGUCAUAGUGAUCCGGUGGUUCUGAAUGGAAGGGCCAUCGCUCAACGGAUAAAAGGUACUCCGGGGAUAACAGGCUGAUACCGCCCAAGAGUUCAUAUCGACGGCGGUGUUUGGCACCUCGAUGUCGGCUCAUCACAUCCUGGGGCUGAAGUAGGUCCCAAGGGUAUGGCUGUUCGCCAUUUAAAGUGGUACGCGAGCUGGGUUUAGAACGUCGUGAGACAGUUCGGUCCCUAUCUGCCGUGGGCGCUGGAGAACUGAGGGGGGCUGCUCCUAGUACGAGAGGACCGGAGUGGACGCAUCACUGGUGUUCGGGUUGUCAUGCCAAUGGCACU